CAAACGCGAAUUCAGAAUAAGAUCUACUUUGCUCUCUUUUUGAUUUCUUAUACUUUAUCGUUGUUAUUCUCGUGUUAUGAUUGCUUGGCGUGUGGUAUUAGCAGAUAUCCGGGACCUCUGGGAAAUUAGGGUUUUCCUAGUUUCCUUAUUUAAACGGAAAUCGACAGUGCAAAUUUUGGUUCCCACAGUGACGAUGGCGGUGGAUGAGCAAGACAAUCCUUCAGAAUUUACCCCAAGAGAAGCCGAGCUUCAACGACAGAUCGACGUACUGCAGAGCCAAUUAACCGACUUGCACAAGGCUCAGGAAACAACCGAAAAUCCAGAGCUUUCCUCCAAGGUUCAGAGCCUGAAGGAAAACCUUCGUGAACACUCCAAACAGCUGGAGUUAAACGCCGAGAAACUCAACCAACUACAGACGGAGAACGCUGCACUCCGAGACCAGAACAAAGCUCCCAACACGGCAAACAACAAGAAGCGUUGCUUCAACACUCGGGUUCGACCUAUGGGAAGCCUGAGCACUCCCAACACCGAAGAAGGCACCACUAACGCAACUCCUGCAUCCAGAGCAGCCAGGGCAACACGAGAAGGGAUCAAGGAUCACCAGAUCCAUAACCUAGAGGAAAGUGAUUCCGAACCUGAACCCGAGAAAGAAGAACCCGAGAAGAUGGCAGCCGAGUCUUCCAUAACCACCUAUCUGGAGCAGAUGUUUUCCAAGAGGUUCGACGCCAUGCAAUCCAUGGUGGAGCGUCUACCAGGAGUAGCUCACCCAAUCCAGAGGAGCAACCCCCGACUCGUACACAGAUACUCCCUUCGCGGAGGAGAUCGCUUCAGUCGAGAUGUGUAAAGGGUUUGGCUCCACUCUAAUUGGACCCGCCUUGCAAUGGUAUAUCAAUCUCCCUACCAGGUCCAUCUCUUCUUUUGCCGGCCUGAGCGAGAAGUUCGUAGAACAAUUCGCGAGUAGCAGGAGCCUGGAGAAGACUUCAGACGGUCUCUACGAGAUCCUCCAGCAUCAAGUAGAACCCCUGCGGGACUACAUAGCCCGUUUCAAUCAAGAGAAGGUAGCGGUCCCUGAAUGCAGCAUCCCUACCGCAAUCUCUGCCUUCAAGAGAGGCCUGCUUCUAGACGGAGGGCUCUACAAAGAGCUAACCAUGUACCCUUGCAAAACCAUGGAGGAUGUGCUAUUCCGAGUGUGGGCACAGGUGAAGUGGGACGAGGACGUCGCUAGCCACGCCAAGGCUCAACCCAAACAGGAUCAGAGGUCCACCCGAUCAGACCAGGGAGACCGAGAAGAAAGAUCCUCCCAAAAGGGAUCCAAGGACUCCGAAAGCAGGAACCAAGGCAGGUUCCAAUACCGGCCAUUAGAAAAAGAAGAGGGGAUGUAUGUGUCUACCUGGCCCGAUAUCUCCCAUCUCUCAAUAUCCAUACCAGAGCUGGUCAACACGCUGAGGCAGAUGGGCCAACAGGUAAAGUUGCCCCCAAAGAUGAUAGCACCUGACUCAUUCCGGAACCUGGGAUUCUAGUGCGACUUCCAUCGCGAUCAUGGCCACAAAACUGAAGACUGCGUCGCCCUGAAGAUCGAGGUCAACGAACUGCUCCAAAAGAGGCAUCUCCGAGAAUUCCUUUCAGAGAAAGCCAAGGCUCAUCUUAGCAAAGAAGCAUCAGGAAAAUCCAAAGGAGACGCGCCAAGCUCACCACCUCUCCAGGACCGGGUGAUUCAUGUCAUCUCAGGAGGCUCUGAAGUAAGUGGCGUGAGUCAUGCAGCUGCGAAGAAGAACACCCGUAAUGCUAAACACGGCCUGGAGACUUGUGGGAACCGAAAUUCACAUUGUCGAUUUCCGUUUAAAUAAGGAAAAUAGGAGCACCCUAAUUUCCCAGAGGUCCCGGAUAUCUGCUAAUACCACAUGCUAAGCAAUCAGAACAUGGGAUAACAACGAUAAAGUAUAAAAACCGAAAAAGUAGAACAAAGUAGAUCUUAUUCCGAAUCUGCGUUUGAGCGUUACAAGAAGGUAAGAGCCUGGGCUUCGAGAGAUUUCAGCGAGAUUCCUAGUUCUAAAAUUCUAAGACGACAACAACCUAAUUGAGUCGCAGCUCGAAUAACAAAAAACGGAAAAUUGCCUAAACUACUAUAAGUGCUAAUUUGCUGUGAAAAAGUUAUCUUCCUGCCUCUCGCCUAGGACUCCUUAUAUACUCACUCCUAGGUCGGUUUACGCUUUUCCUCUUCUGCCCUUAAGCCGUCAUAGCUUAAAAAUGGAGAUAUUUUAUUUUUCCCGAUCUUUGUAAUUAUCUUCCAAAACUUCAUAUUUAUCCGCGGAAACUUGACAUUUAUCUUUCCUUGCGAACCAAGCAUAAAUCAUCAUACGGCUUAUGGGCUGUUGGUUAAGAAAUCAUAAGUGGGCUUCAAGUCACGUCUUAGGUCUCUUUGGGCCGUCUUUUGACUCGAAACGUUUAUUACGGUUUCUUCGAUAAAAACUAACUUUCUGUGCUUUUUAUCAUAAAGUUUGAUCGAUGACUUCGAGUGACGAGAAACAUGAAAUGGUUCAGCUACGGUCUUCGGGAGAUAGAAUUAAAGAGUAGACGAGAAUGCAUGGAUUCGCGUCGUAUCGAUGUUUUGAGAAAGCUCGAUUUCUUCGUAACGAUCGAAACGUUCAUGUGCUCGGUCACUACGUACUGACCAAGCUAGGUUCCAAGCUCGGUCGCUACGUACGCGUGUUCGGUCGCUACGUACGCAUGCUCGGUCGCUACGUAGCGACCGAGCUUGGCUUGGGCUCGGUCGCUACGUAGCGACAGAGCUUUGGCUCGAGCUCAGUCGCUACGUAGCGACCGAGCUGUGUGCAUGCUUGGUCGCCGCGUAUCGAUCGAGCUUGGCUUGUCUGCGGUCCGAUUGCCAUACUCGAGCUUGGUCGCAGCCGAUUUGGAUACAUGUCUGUUGCCUUCGGACAAUCAGUAUUUAGGGUUCGAUUAUGAUUGAACAAAAUUUUACCGCAAGGCUCUUCGUAAAGAUUUCUUUACGAAGAUUACUUUUCGUAAAACGUUCAUGCUGAUUUUUACGGACUUUCAGACAUUGAUUCCGUCGUGACCGAUUUUGACCCCAACAGUUAGCCCCCCAGCUCGUUAUAACCAUGAGCUUAUAGCGUGAGGUUCUAGCGAGUGGCUUGGCAAGUUAGGCGAAUUAAUGGUUGAAAAGGUCCGUGGUAAGUGGUCUUCUCGCUCUUCUAAAUGUAGAACGCGGUAAGAUUGGGGCUGCGCCUUAUGACGUCUGCCUACGUACCCUUGUUGAAGGGAUCAAGCCUUUCGUAGUUUGUCUUGGAGUUUAGGUUUUUAUGACAAGUUUUCAAGCGAGACCUUUUGCGGUCUAGUUUAUAUGUAGAAGUUAUCAGGCGUGUUGCUGCCAAUGGCAUUUUAUAUGGGCGUAGAGGGAAGACUACGAGUUGUCAUCUCGUUAAUCUAACUCUGUGUGAACUACUAUAUAUGUGAUCUGUUUCAAGAGUUUUCCGCAAUGUGUAACCUUGCGGGAUUUCUGAAGUUGCUCGAAUAUUGGCCAAGAGACAAAUUUUGGGAUUUCGUAUCAGGGUGUUUGAUACUAUGCCUAGAGAUGUUAUAGACCAGUGCACUGGGUUUUGGGCAAGACCUAGGUCUAAUCACAGUUUUAGGGGGUGCGAUGACUACUUCGACUUACGUUUCCCGUAUCGUUUUCGACCUGAUUCCAUCCUGCUUUAAAGUCCGUGAUAUGUUCUCGGCUUACGUGACUUGAAUGGUAGGAAUCGAGCAUCUCUUCGAGGACAAUUUUUAAGUCUCCCGAAAGUGCUGACCAAAAUUUCGGAUUAUUUUUUAUGUAGCGCUAUAUACCCUUGUGUCGGGUGUACGAGAGCUAUCUCUAAGAGAUGGCUAAGUCUGUUUAGGAUGUUAAGAGUUUGUUGUGAUCAGAAACAAACGUAUCGGUAGAUAUUACCCUUUUUGAGUCUUCACGAAGAAUAUGUUUUGAGAAUAUGUUAGUGCGUAUGACUGUCUGGUCUUCCAAGAAGGUGUUUUUAUAGAGGAAGGAAAUUUCGUCGAAGAAUGAAUCUUCAGGCGUCUGCGACGUCUUGCGAUGCUGAAGAUUUGUUAUUCUUUCGUAUGCCGCAUUUCGUGCUUGAAAUGUUCGUGGGCUUGAAGAUGUUUCGCGAUGUUGCAAGGGUUUAGUCUUAGCCUUGCGUUUGAGAAACAUUCUGGUUUGACUACGGAUGUUUGCAGCCAAAGUUGUUGAUCAUGUUUGGAUGCUAAUAAAUUGAUUUGCGAUCGAGGAAUUAGGACUGAGGUGUCGCGUAAAUUUGUCCAUGGGAAGAAGUGUUUUCCUUCAUAAUGCUUUUUGAAGUGUUGACCUUCUGAGGUAUAUUUCGUGCAUUUUUUAGGAUGUUUCAUAUAGCUCUAGAAGCUUUUUACGAAUUUUUUCCUUAUAUGCCGCGUAUUAUGGGAAAAACUUUGCGGGCUUAGACUGAAUUGUAGAGCGUAUUGAACUUGGCCAAUUUUUGAAAAGUUUAGAUUUUCCGUUAACCGUUUGGUUGUUAGGACAGAGUUUCGUUACGAAGCAUUUAUCAUAUGAUUUCCGACUGUGGGCUAUACGAUAAUUGUUCUCUUAAUAUAAUGGGGACCGGUUUUACGAAGGUUGUAAAUUGGUGAUACGUAUACAUAUGUCAUAGUAGCGUUGUUUCUGCGGGUUUUACAAGAAACAUUUCUGCUGUGAUUUCGAUCUUAGGUCAAAGUUGCUUGGAGUUACUCAUGGAGUGUUACCGAAGCUUAUUUCAUUACGAUUUAGUCGCAGAACGUUUUUCAUAGGUUUUUUGAGCGGAUUCUCAUGACACAUUCGUUUCUGGAAUGAAUUGGUCAACCAGAGGUGGAUCUAGCUAACCAUCGGGAGGAAAGUGUUUCUUUUAAUGUGCACGAUGCUACAUCUAUUCUCGAGUUUUCUUCGUCGCAAAUGUUUUUGAUGCUUUUCCGUGACUCACUUGGUACAACGGAAACUGAAAGAAAUGCUUUGGUGAAUGAAGAUUUCUCGUAGAAAAAUUUUAAACAAAAAUGGCUUUCUAAGCCAGAAAAGGGUUCAAUACUUUGGCUAAUCGUCGAGUUUCAGUUUGAUAUUGAUACAGGUUUUCUGUACACAUGAUUGCGACAAGAAAUGAUGUAUAGUCUUUGAGAUUAUGUUUGUGAUCGUCUGGAAAUGUUGCUAGCGUUUAGACAAAAUUUAGAUUGUCGUUUGCCUAUUUGGGACGAUUUGCUUUGACAAAAUCGUUUUCUUGACGAUUUGCAAAAGUUAUUUGAAGUUUGGGAGUAUACGUGUAUAGUAUACGUACCUACUCCCCUUUUUGUUUUUUUUUACAGAAGAAAACAGUUGAACCGAUACUUUGAAGGGUUGUGUAUGUUUCUUCUUCUGAGGUUUGGAAUGAUCGAUAAUCCGAGACGAUUUAAAGACGACGCUUGGACUGUGAUUUGGUUGUUUCCAUGUUGACGACUUGGAAUAUGUCGGUUCCGAGAAAAUUGCCAGAAACGAAUCGGUUUUAAGACGACGUUGAUGUCUCUAGUUUUUCUCUCCUUAGGGAGCGAGCUUGUUAUGCAUGGCGAUCGUUUCUUUAUUUUCGGAGAGUUUAGAUCGGUUUGUAAGAUCUGGAUGAACAGUUAUGGAACGAUAUAUCGAGACAGGAAAAAUCACCUAAGACUUAGUUCGCUAGACUAUCCACCUAGGUUUUACGUUCCCUAAAGUUCUAUGGCAGUCUCAAAGGCGUUUUUAUUUCAUAGUAAUUUCCUACGAAAAUUCCAAGUCUGAUUUCUAAAAUUUCAAGUCGGAAAUACCUUAGUUCUCUCGAAGAUGCAGUUUUGUCUCUUCUCAGUUUUGCUUGCUCAUUUCCCCUUCCUCUUCUCGUGUAUGUUCGCCAUUUUUUGAUAUUGGUGUUUAUCCUUUGAAACUUGACAUUUAUCUUCCGAACUUCACUGUUAUCUUCUCCUUAGAUACGAUGUCAAUUUUAAUAAAAAGGUUCAACGUAAUCGUAUAGUUGAGGCGGCUAAGGUGUUAAGUUAACCGUUGCUGUUUUAUACGAUUAAUCUGAAUCCAUGCGAGAAAACAAGUCUUUGCGGUUUUUUUUAUCGUAAAUUUUCAAUGGUAACUCUAAUCGAGAUGAAACAAGGGACGUUUCGAUCGAGAUAUGAAGGAGAACACAAAGAUGGAGGUAAGGGAGAGUAGGAGCAAGCGAAGGAGUUUAGACGAGUCUUACUUGUUUUCGUCGUAAAAUCUCAAUGGAAACUCCGAUUGAGACUAAACGAAAAGCUGCGUUUCGAUCGGGACUUAAAAGAGAACACAAAAGAGGAGCUUUUUAAGGCCUGGCAGGUCGCUACGUAGCGAGCAGGAGGUCUGACAGGUUGCUAUGUAGCGUAUAGAAGUAAGCCAAGAAGAGUCCUACUUGUUUUCGUCGUAAAAUGUCAACGGAAACUCCGAUUGAGACGAAACGAAAAGCGUUUCGAUGAGGAUUCAAAAGAGAAUGCAAAGGAGGACCUUUCUGAGGCCUGACAGGUCGCUAUGUAGCGAGUGAAGGUCUGACAGGUCGCUACGUAGCGAGUAAAAGCAAACCAAGAAGAGUCCUACUUGUUUUCGUCAUAAAAUCUCAACCGAAACUCCGAUUGACACGAAACAAAAAGCAUUUCGAUGAUGAUUCAAAGGAGAACGCAAAGAAGGACAUUUCUGAGGCCUGACAGGUCGCUAUGUAGCGACUGGAGGUCUGACAGGUCGUUACGUAGCGAGUAGAAGCAAGCCAAAAGAGUCCUACUUGUUUUAGUCGUAAAAUCUUAACGGAAACUCCGAUUGAGACGAAAC
Long non-coding RNA from Brassica rapa (field mustard), 6838 nucleotides. RefSeq lists it as uncharacterized. The record is from RefSeq and is a predicted model, not a curated record. Lineage: Eukaryota; Viridiplantae; Streptophyta; Magnoliopsida; Brassicales; Brassicaceae.